ACUGCGCCGCCGCAGUCAGAUUAUAAUCGAUGGUUACUGCUUUAUCUUUCCUGGUUGAUGAAAUCUGGCCUCCCUAUAUAGCAAAAUCAUCAGGUGUUGUAGAACGAUCGUUGGCUGUUCAGAGGAUUUCGGAAGAGAAUGUCGUCUCAGGGCAACAAGUCUUCAUCUCAUCGGGCUCAUUUGACUCAAAGAACCAGUUACACUACUAAAAAA
Helianthus annuus (common sunflower) is the source of this 213-nucleotide long non-coding RNA. RefSeq lists it as uncharacterized. The transcript is spliced from 3 exons. The record is from RefSeq and is a predicted model, not a curated record. Lineage: Eukaryota; Viridiplantae; Streptophyta; Magnoliopsida; Asterales; Asteraceae.